CAACUUUCAGCAAUGGAUCUCUUGGUUCUCGCAUCGAUGAAGAACGCAGUGAAAUGCGAUAGCUGGUGUGAUUUGCAUCCAAGUAACUCUAAUUUACGAAUAACACCAAGUGAAUCAUCGAGUCUUUGAA
This 130-nucleotide ribosomal RNA is filed under the name Craterellus cinereofimbriatus. RNAcentral describes it as "5.8S ribosomal RNA". It matches the Rfam family "5.8S ribosomal RNA", at positions 1 to 104 of the family's 154-position model. Rfam says of the family: 5.8S ribosomal RNA (5.8S rRNA) is a component of the large subunit of the eukaryotic ribosome. It is transcribed by RNA polymerase I as part of the 45S precursor that also contains 18S and 28S rRNA. Lineage: Eukaryota; Fungi; Basidiomycota; Agaricomycetes; Cantharellales; Hydnaceae. The record is from RNAcentral.